RNAcentral lists this ribosomal RNA (497 nucleotides) under uncultured bacterium. RNAcentral describes it as "partial 16S ribosomal RNA". It matches the Rfam family "Bacterial small subunit ribosomal RNA", at positions 28 to 507 of the family's 1533-position model. The record is from RNAcentral.
GAUGAACGCUGGCGGCGUGCCUAAUACAUGCCAGUCGAGCGAACAGACGAGGAGCUUACUCCUCUGACGUUAGCGGCGGACGGGUGAGUAACACGUGGAUAACCUACCUAUAAGACUGGGAUAACUUCGGGAAACCGGAGCUAAUACCGGAUAACAUGUUGAACCGCAUGGUUCAACAGUGAAAGACGGUCUUGCUGUCACUUAUAGAUGGAUCCGCGUCGCAUUAGCUAGUUGGCAAGGUAACGGCUUACCAAGGCAACGAUGCGUAGCCGACCUGAGAGGGUGAUCGGCCACACUGGAACUGAGACACGGUCCAGACUCCUACGGGAGGCAGCAGUAGGGAAUCUUCCGCAAUGGGCGAAAGCCUGACGGAGCAACGCCGCGUGAGUGAAGAAGGUCUUCGGAUCGUAAAACUCUGUUAUUAGGGAAGAACAAAUGUGUAAGUAACUAUGCACGUCUUGACGGUACCUAAUCAGAAAGCCACGGCUAACUACGUG